GUCUACCGCCAUACUGCCCUGAACGCGCCCACUCUCAUCUGAUCUCAGAAGCUAAGCAGGGUCGGGCCUGGUUAGUACUUAGAUGGGAGACUGCUUGGAAAUACCAGGUGUUGUAGGCU
Molecule: ribosomal RNA, 119 nt
Filed under: Cebus imitator (Panamanian white-faced capuchin)
Lineage: Eukaryota; Metazoa; Chordata; Mammalia; Primates; Cebidae
Source: RNAcentral